This 187-nucleotide non-coding RNA is filed under the name Selenihalanaerobacter shriftii. Its description in RNAcentral is "Lysine sequence". It matches the Rfam family "Lysine riboswitch aptamer". Rfam says of the family: Riboswitches are metabolite binding domains within certain messenger RNAs that serve as precision sensors for their corresponding targets. Allosteric rearrangement of mRNA structure is mediated by ligand binding, and this results in modulation of gene expression. Lineage: Bacteria; Bacillati; Bacillota; Clostridia; Halanaerobiales; Halobacteroidaceae. The record is from Rfam by way of RNAcentral.
UGAUGAGGUAGAGGUGCAGUGAGUCACAAGUAAUUUUAGUGAGCUAUUAAGAUUAGCUAUGAUCUAAAAUGAAAAGGACUAUUGCCGAAGUAUUAGAGAAAUCUUAAUUUCUAAUACUGGGUUAAUAUCUAAUAGGUAUUGGACUGCUUUUGAAGACAAAUGUCUUCGGGAGUGCGCUAUCUCAUAA